This is a non-coding RNA of Paramormyrops kingsleyae, 1365 nucleotides long. The record is from RefSeq and is a predicted model, not a curated record. Lineage: Eukaryota; Metazoa; Chordata; Actinopteri; Osteoglossiformes; Mormyridae.
GGGGGCAAUUUAAAGAUGCGCACGCCCGGCGUGGACGGCACUCGGUGUUUCCUUAACGGCAUUUUACUGUUUGAGAGCUUUUCCGUUACACUGCGCUUGGCCAUUGUUAAUAUCCGCCACCGCGUCCUCGCCAGUGAAGGGAACAUCUGGCCCCUCCGCUUCUGCUAGCCUAAUUAUUUUUAUGCAAAGCGGGCACGGCGAAACGCCGCCACGAGCCGCACGCCCGCAAACGGGCAAACUCUGCCUCCAUUGUUCUCGCCGCUCGCGCUCCUUAAUUAAGAUGCGCGAGGCGCCGCGCUCCUUUGUCUCCAGGGCGGCGCGCGCGUGCGCCUCGGCAGCGCGCGGCGGCACAGACGCAUCCUCCGCUGCAGCCGGGCUUCCUCCUGAGGUUCGGCGCGCGUCGCUCACACACUGACAGAAAUAGGUUGGCUCGCAUUAAGAAGAAGUAGCCCCUCUUAAAACAAGCAAACAAACAAGCGAGCGCGCAGAACAGGCGAUGUCACAUCCGCAGCGGCUCCUAAUUUCAGACUCGAGAGGUUAAUUGCCUCCCGUCGCUUCAAAGGCGAGUUUUGAUGUGCGUUUUUGAGCGCUGUCUUUAGCCUAGCCGGAGAGCAGAGGGGAGGGGGGCACUUGAGAAUUCACUGGCGGUAUAACAGCACAGACGUCUCCUCAGAUCCGUGUCAAAAUAAACCCAGACCUUUUUAAGGCGCCGUGCUUUGAAGUGGUGGAGAGCCUCAAAUCCGAGCUCCUCGCAGCAUUGGACGGCCUGAAAAAUUAGCAGCCGCGCGGCGCCUGCCUUUGAUGUCUGCCUUUCUCUCUGCCCAUUUUAAAAGAGAAAUCACAAGAAAUGCACCCUGACUCCUAGAUUAAGAUAAUGAUUUUGCUGGAUGGCGGCACAGAUGCGUGGAGAUUUCUACAAAUCUGUGUGGUUUUGGCAGUGGGCACAUGAAAGGGCUGCGGCUCGCGACGGCGUGUGCAUCUGUCGCAUUAAAAACGUCGCGUCUGGCCGCCUCGAUGGGUUUGGAGGUGGCUGUCUUCCUCACUAAUGGCAAAGUGCUGUUGUCUUUGUGGCACUUGCUCGAUUCCAGUCUGAUUCAGUGAUCGGGACAAGAUGCCGGGCAUCGGCGGAGACAGCUUCAGGAGGUGGGCCGGGUGUGCAGGUUACGGCUUCUCCCUGCUCCCAUCUAACAGAGGAAUCCUCCUAUCAAGUACUAUGAGGCGUUUUCCUUUUUUUUUUUUGUUUUUUACCAACUCACUGCCAUAAAGCCUAUUAUACAGAAAAUCCUCCACGUACGAACGAAGAUGGGAGCGGCCAUGUCCAAUAAAUUAAAAAUAAAAAAUAAAUUGUAAAGUUUAAAGCUGCCA